RNAcentral lists this ribosomal RNA (468 nucleotides) under uncultured bacterium. Its description in RNAcentral is "partial 16S ribosomal RNA". It matches the Rfam family "Bacterial small subunit ribosomal RNA", at positions 28 to 507 of the family's 1533-position model. The record is from RNAcentral.
GACGAACGCUGGCGGCGUGCUUAACACAUGCAAGUCGAACGGAAAGGCCCUGCUUUUGUUGGGUGCUCGAGUGGCGAACGGGUGAGUAACACGUGAGUAACCUGCCCUUGACUUUGGGAUAACUUCAGGAAACUGGGGCUAUUACCGGAUAUGAGCUCCUGCUGCAUGGUGGGGGUUGGAAAGUUUCGGCGGUUGGGGAUGGACUCGCGGCUUAUCAGCUUGUUGGUGGGGUAGUGGCUUACCAAGGCUUUGACGGGUAGGCGGCCUGAGAGGGUGACCGGCGACAUGAGGACUGAGAUACGGCCCCGACUCCUACGGGAGGCAGCAGUGGGGAAUAUUGCACAAUGGGCGGAAGCCUGAUGCAGCAACGCCGCGUGCGGGAUGACGGCCUUCGGGUUGUAAACCGCUUUCGCCUGUGACGAAGCGUGAGUGACGGUAAUGGGUAAAGAAGCACCGGCUAACUACGUG